UACGUAGGGGGCAAGCGUUGUCCGGAAUCAUUGGGCGUAAAGCGCGUGUAGGCGGUCCGCAAAGUCUGGUGUGAAAACUUAGGGCUCAACCCUAAGCCUGCACUGGAUACUGGCGGACUUGAGUCCGGAAGAGGAGAGUGGAAUUCCUGGUGUAGCGGUGGAAUGCGCAGAUAUCAGGAGGAACACCGAUGGCGAAGGCAGCUCUCUGGGACGUGACUGACGCUGAGACGCGAAAGCGUGGGGAGCGAACAGG
RNAcentral lists this ribosomal RNA (253 nucleotides) under uncultured bacterium. RNAcentral's name for it is "partial 16S ribosomal RNA". It matches the Rfam family "Bacterial small subunit ribosomal RNA", at positions 524 to 776 of the family's 1533-position model. The record is from RNAcentral.